This 65-nucleotide transfer RNA is filed under the name Curtos costipennis. Its description in RNAcentral is "tRNA-Met". RNAcentral also lists the same sequence under 1 other name. The record is from RNAcentral. Lineage: Eukaryota; Metazoa; Arthropoda; Insecta; Coleoptera; Lampyridae.
AAAAAGAUAAGCUAAUUAAAGCUUUUGGGUUCAUACCCCAACUAUAAAGAUAACUUUUCUUUUUA